Molecule: long non-coding RNA, 182 nt
Filed under: Aedes aegypti (yellow fever mosquito)
Lineage: Eukaryota; Metazoa; Arthropoda; Insecta; Diptera; Culicidae
Description: lncRNA AAEL027613
Source: RNAcentral
CUUGUACCACACGAGAGUCGAAGAAGAAUUGUAACCGUAGCAUCGCGCUGCUUUGUACGGUUGAUGUUGAAGAGGAGAUAACGGAAGUAGCAAAAGGAUCCGGAAGGAAGUUAUAUCGUAAGGCAGGAGGAAAACUAUUUGAUUUUUGAGCUGCUCCGAAAAGCUGCUGCAAAAUAAAUAAC